CGGACGAACGCUGGCGGCGUGCUUAACACAUGCAAGUCGAACGGUAACAGGUCUUCGGAUGCUGACGAGUGGCGAACGGGUGAGUAAUACAUCGGAACGUGCCCGAUCGUGGGGGAUAACGCAGCGAAAGCUGUGCUAAUACCGCAUACGAUCUACGGAUGAAAGCGGGGGAUCGCAAGACCUCGCGCGGACGGAGCGGCCGAUGGCAGAUUAGGUAGUUGGUGGGAUAAAAGCUUACCAAGCCGACGAUCUGUAGCUGGUCUGAGAGGACGACCAGCCACACUGGGACUGAGACACGGCCCAGACUCCUACGGGAGGCAGCAGUGGGGAAUUUUGGACAAUGGGGGAAACCCUGAUCCAGCCAUGCCGCGUGCAGGAUGAAGGCCUUCGGGUUGUAAACUGCUUUUGUACGGAACGAAAAGGUCCUUUCUAAUAAAGAGGGCUCAUGACGGUACCGUAAGAAUAAGCACCGGCUAACUACGUG
RNAcentral lists this ribosomal RNA (484 nucleotides) under uncultured bacterium. RNAcentral's name for it is "bacterial SSU rRNA". It matches the Rfam family "Bacterial small subunit ribosomal RNA", at positions 27 to 507 of the family's 1533-position model. The record is from RNAcentral.